GACGAACGCUGGCGGCGUGCUUAACACAUGCAAGUCGAACGGUGAAGCGCCUUCCUUUUUGGUGGGUGUGGAUGAGUGGCGAACGGGUGAGCAACACGUGAGUAACCUGCCCCCUUCUUCUGGAUAACCGCAUGAAAGUGUGGCUAAUACGGGAUAUUCUGGGUCUGUCGCAUGAUGGGUCUGGGAAAGAUAUUGUUUCGGUGGGGGAUGGGCUCGCGGCCUAUCAGCUUGUUGGUGGGGUGAUGGCCUACCAAGGCGGUGACGGGUAGCCGGCCUGAGAGGGUGGACGGUCACACUGGGACUGAGACACGGCCCAGACUCCUACGGGAGGCAGCAGGGGGGAAUAUUGCACAAUGGGCGAAAGCCUGAUGCAGCGACGCCGCGUGAGGGAUGGAGGCCUGCGGGUUGUGAACCUCUUUCGCCAGUGAAGCAGGCCUGCCUCGUUUGUGGGUGGGUUGACGGUAGCUGGAUAAGAAGCGCCGGCUAACUACGUG
Molecule: ribosomal RNA, 494 nt
Filed under: uncultured bacterium
Lineage: Bacteria
Description: partial 16S ribosomal RNA
Rfam family: Bacterial small subunit ribosomal RNA
Source: RNAcentral